This 27-nucleotide small RNA is filed under the name Bombyx mori (domestic silkworm). RNAcentral describes it as "ovarian small RNA-16403". The record is from RNAcentral. Lineage: Eukaryota; Metazoa; Arthropoda; Insecta; Lepidoptera; Bombycidae.
GCACUACCAGGCGGGCCCCGUUGGCCG